AUGUCCGAGCGUCUGUCGGACUUCGAGCUUCGCCCUAGCCAUUGCCUUGAAGCAGAAUCGCUUACAAAGAUGACGGCGCUGAUGAUGUCUGACGUGAGAGGGAAACUGAGGGUGUCUUCCUUGCCCAACCUGAGGAGCACGUCAAGCAGGUCCUCGUUGUCUCUAGCGGUAGCAGCAUCAGAAGCACCAUUCGGUACUUUGGUCUCCUUGCGAUCUUGGAUGAUGUCUCCUAGGAUGCUCUGCAUCCGGGAAUGGAGCCUCCUCAUGGCGCGGCCGGAGCUGCUCAGCCACCGCACCAGCCGGGACGACGGGAAAAGGUCCACCAAGCUGAACCCUCCCCCGAGAACCGCCAUUACGUCGAGCUCCCGGAGGUAG
RNAcentral lists this ribosomal RNA (375 nucleotides) under Triticum aestivum (bread wheat). RNAcentral's name for it is "partial small subunit ribosomal RNA". Lineage: Eukaryota; Viridiplantae; Streptophyta; Magnoliopsida; Poales; Poaceae. The record is from RNAcentral.